Molecule: ribosomal RNA, 481 nt
Filed under: uncultured bacterium
Lineage: Bacteria
Description: partial 16S ribosomal RNA
Rfam family: Bacterial small subunit ribosomal RNA
Source: RNAcentral
AUUGAACGCUGGCGGCAGGCCUAACACAUGCAAGUCGAGCGGAUGAAGGGAGCUUGCUCCUGGAUUCAGCGGCGGACGGGUGAGUAAUGCCUAGGAAUCUGCCUGGUAGUGGGGGAUAACGUCCGGAAACGGGCGCUAAUACCGCAUACGUCCUGAGGGAGAAAGUGGGGGAUCUUCGGACCUCACGCUAUCAGAUGAGCCUAGGUCGGAUUAGCUAGUUGGUGGGGUAAAGGCCUACCAAGGCGACGAUCCGUAACUGGUCUGAGAGGAUGAUCAGUCACACUAGAACUGAGACACGGUCCAGACUCCGACGGGAGGCAGCAGUGAGGAAUAGUGGACAAUGGGCGAAAGCCUGAUCCAGCCAUGCCGCGUGUGUGAAGAAGGUCGUCGGAUUGUAAAGCACUUUAAGUUGGGAGGAAGGGCAGUAAGUUAAUACCUUGCUGUUUUGACGUUACCAACAGAAUAAGCACCGGCUAACUUC